CUUCUUCACUUUCCUCAUCCAUCAACUGCAGGAAACGUCACCUGCACACCUAUAUAGUGACUACAUGGGGCUGAUGGGAGGAUUCGUAGGAGGGAAAGCCGGUUAUAAACAAAUAUGACCUUCUCUGAAGCUCUGAAGACAGCAGCCAUACAAAGGAAAACUUCCAGAGCAAUAUUCUGCUCCAACACUGUGACGUGUGCCCUCCCUCCUGCACCACUGCCCCUCGACGCCUCCGUGGAACAUCUGCCCCGGGUUCCAUGGCCCUCUGUGGGUCUGUGCCCGCACUGUGCCCCCCACGGCAGAAGGAACCAGGCUGACAUUUAUCUGUGCACCCCAGUUCUCUUACUGCAUGGUUUGUACUCAAUAAAUGGCUACUCAUUUACUU
This is a long non-coding RNA of Symphalangus syndactylus (siamang), 385 nucleotides long. RefSeq lists it as uncharacterized. The record is from RefSeq and is a predicted model, not a curated record. NCBI's taxonomy places the organism in Eukaryota, Metazoa, Chordata, Mammalia, Primates, Hylobatidae.